This 3526-nucleotide long non-coding RNA is filed under the name Mus musculus (house mouse). RNAcentral's name for it is "long non-coding RNA chr16:40311925-40315451". The record is from RNAcentral. Lineage: Eukaryota; Metazoa; Chordata; Mammalia; Rodentia; Muridae.
GAUGUAUAGCAUUGUCACAAAUGAAUGAGAUACUUUCAAAAUGACUAAAAAUCAUUUUCUCACAUUUUAAGUUUGAUCGAUUUCUGAUCAUUUUUUAACCAGUGUGUAUUUCACCUUAAGUAAAUGAGAGUUUGUGCGGGUACUGCUUUUCUAGCAACAACUUAUCAGGAGUUUCGUGGCCUGAGGCAAAACUCCUUCCCUUAUUUUUUCUGUGUUUACUAGUUUUUUAUUCUCUGUGCAUCUGACAAUUCACUUAAUCUAUAAUUCAAAUAUGCUCAGCAUAUCUCCCAAGAUUUGACAAUCUAGUUUAUAAUUACUUUCAUUAUUAUACAAAAUCUUGAAAAUUGUUAAGUCAAUAAAUAGGGUUAUAAAAAACCUGAUUCUUAACCUCUUCUUUACAGCAACCCAAAAUGAUGCCAUUUAGGUUUGAACACGUCUCGAAAACCACGAAAAGCCUCUAAACAAAAUUAAGUUUAAUUCACUCUUUAGGGAAGUACUUCUACAGACCAUUGGGAGGAAGGGGAACUAAUUUAAAUAAAUUAUCAGAUAGUCAUUUUAACCAGACGAGUGCUACUAAUUACAAUCCAUUUCCUCUAUUCAUUAAAACUCCAGCCUAGAUCCACUCUGUCAGCAGUCACUCCAGUUGCUUGAGAGCCUUAUCACAACUCUUCUUUAAAUACAUUAUAUAGUUUAGACUUUUGCUAACUUAUAGCCUUUUCUAGGCAUCCCUGAAAAGUGUCUGCUUUUUUUUUGCAUGCUCCUUCUGUUUUAAUAUAUUUGGUCUUUAGUCUUUUUUCAUUGCUGUCUUCUCAAUAUUCUGUAAUCUGUUUUAAUCAUCAGGUGUUUCAAUCUAUCAAGUAGGUAUCUAGUUCAAGCAUUGCAUUCUAGGGAGAAUCCGUCUAUUGUUCUCCUAGGCAGGUUAGUUUGGUAUAGUUCAUUGCUUUUUUUAACUAAUGUAUUACAUAUCCAGGCCACAAAAAUCCAAUGGAAUUAAAACCAACCAUCCUGAAAUCACCACAGCAUCCUAGCUGCUUGUCGUACACUAUACACCAAGUCUGUUUGGCUUAUUUGACAGUGGUAGGUUUUAAUUUUUUUUUCUGUAAAAUAAAUAUGCACUAUGGGGUGUGUGACAAAUGGUCCCUUGGUGUAAGUCUGUCUUUUACUGGCAUUUGAGUUGUUGGUUAUACUUGUUAUACUAAUGCCUCUAAACCAGGAAUCUGAAGAAAGCCACAUGUUUCUAAUUUUUAGAUCAUAGUGAGUCCUAUGCUUCCACAACAUGCUCCCUGCCCCCCCCCCCAAAACAGGUAUUAUUUAGUUUUAGUAGCUCUAAUUUUGUUAAUAGGGAAACUGAGUAUAGGUGCUUGUGUAAUACUUUCAUAAAUUAAAGAGAGUAGAGGGAAUUCUACCUAUUUCCUUUUCCAUCUUUAGUUGUCUGAUUAAAUGCUUAUUGUAUUACAGAUCCUCCCUCAAUAUUUGUUGACUUAAGUAUGUGUUAUAUAAUAAAGAUAGUGAGCCUGGGAGUAAAGUAAGGUUUUUAUCUGACUUUUCUUAUUUAAAGACCUUUCCAAAGCCCUGGCUACUUGCUGAUAGGAAACAACAUCACUCUAAGUUUUAAAAGUUGAAGAUUCAUUGGGAAUUCUUUUAUCUACUUAGCAAUUAAUUUACAUCUACUGUAAUUAAUUUUUGAGAAACCUGCAAAAGCCUAUUAGCUGAUGUUCAUAAGCAGUGGAUCCUAACUUGGGAAGCUGGGAGGAAUAAAUCAGCCUGUAUCAGCCAGAUAUGUUGCCCUGGCAGAUAGCCUUGGCAAGCACCCAAACAUAAAUAAACUAUUUUCCAAGUUUUGGUAAAAAUAAUUAAGUUCAGCUUAAAAUGCAUCCAAACUCCAUUGUCUGAUGGCCCAUAGAAAUGAAUAAUUCCAUUUUAUACUGAUAGAGGGUAGGUUCAGGAGGAGUUCAGAGCAGUAUUGUAAUAAGCAGGCAUUCACAAUGAUUUUGUAAACGAGGAGAUGCAUUCUCUUAUGAGUAGAAUUUAUUGAAAAAUAGUAAUAGAAAGCCAUUCUCCAGACCUUCCUGGAGCGGUGCUGUCUUCGAAGGUUUGGCUUCUGACACAGCUAAAGCCCAGCAUCUCUGUCCUGUUGCAAACGUGCAGCUGUCAUUUCCCUUCCUAAACACCAUGUCACCUCAUGCUCUGCCUUCGCUCUCAUCGUGUGCUCGUAACAGACAAGUUUUAAACACUGCCUAGAACAGGUGGUCCAUUACUUAGAGCGGGAGAGUUAGAUAUGGUCUCCUCCUUUCAUUUUCAAUUAUUAUUACCCAUUCAGAAGCAUCUUCAGACUUUCCUCGAUAUGAAAUCUAUAGGAUUAUCUGGAUUAAAAAAUAAGUGCUGACAUCUCAUGACAUCAAGGAAGGUUUAGUUUCGGGUUUUAUUUGCUUGUUGCUUCUCCCUUUUUCUCACAGAUGAUUCGUGAGGUAAACUGCCCAUGAGACCUCCGUCCCAAGACAUGGCUUCCUGGACAGAGGCUUCCUGGAGGGUUGGGCAUCAUUAGAAAGUCUUCCUCACUCUUUCUGACUGGAGUUGAAUGUUAAGAUACAGGAAGAGCUCUCCUUCUUAACCAAUUUCCUCUCAGUUCUCCACUUCCUGUUCCGGAAAGUCAGUCAGUAAAAUGCCUCCAAAUUUCUCACCUUUGUAGCUGCUUCCCAUAGCUAAUCACACUAAACUGGAAAAAGAAAUAAGGCCGGGUCUUGUAAGGCACUGUAACAAGUGAGUAAACAAAAUACUUACACCCAAGGAAUCCUCAAGUUAGUUAGUUUUAAUUAAUAAAUUAGAAACCUAAGAGGUCUCAGCUAAAGAAGAAACAAUGUCUAAUGUAAUAUUUUAUACCCAAUUUUUGAUUCAGUUGAAAAUACUAGUUUUUAUAUUACAGUCAGUAGAAUCUGAGCUAUGAAAGAGUUUACUUUGAAAAUCUGUUAAACAUAAUGUUCACUUUCUGAACAGUUUAUAUUUCAGUAAUUUAAUUUUCAUGUAAUGCCUUUAUGAUAUUAAAUUUAGUUUUUAAAUUCAAGGAAAUAUGAAACUAUUCAAGAAGUUAUGAAAUUAUUAGAAAAGUGUGUUCAUCAGAUUACUUUCAUCCGGACAAGUCAGACUCAGAAGCCAUUCUUGGAGAAUUUGCCUAAAAACAUAAGGACAACCAGCAGAGAUUAAUUUUAUCAAAGCAAUAGGAAAAUUAGAGAGACAGUAAUAAAUAUCUCCAGAAUUCUCCACUAAUAUGUAAAUGAUGGUGAGAAAUUUAGUUGUUUGACUGUGAUGUCUUUUCCUUUUAUUUUCAUUUUCAGAAUGAAAGGGAAAAAUUUAGUUUGAUGUCAUUAAUCCACUCAGCGUCCUGCCCUUUCCAUUAGUAUUGAUCAAGAAACCAUCUCUUUAAUUGGAUUUGUCUCCCAAUUUUUCUGAAGUUCAUUUUUAGUGUUACCCUAAUCACCACAUUUUUUUUUUUGAAACUCAGUAUUCUGGGUUAGAUGUAUUCUAGAAU